RNAcentral lists this ribosomal RNA (2927 nucleotides) under Klebsiella michiganensis. RNAcentral's name for it is "23S ribosomal RNA". It matches the Rfam family "Bacterial large subunit ribosomal RNA". The record is from RNAcentral. Lineage: Bacteria; Pseudomonadati; Pseudomonadota; Gammaproteobacteria; Enterobacterales; Enterobacteriaceae.
GGGUUGUGAGGUUAAGCGACUAAGCGUACACGGUGGAUGCCCUGGCAGUCAGAGGCGAUGAAGGACGUGCUAAUCUGCGAAAAGCGUCGGUAAGGUGAUAUGAACCGUUACAGCCGGCGAUGUCCGAAUGGGGAAACCCAGUGCAAUUCGUUGCACUAUCGUUAACUGAAUACAUAGGUUAACGAGGCGAACCGGGGGAACUGAAACAUCUAAGUACCCCGAGGAAAAGAAAUCAACCGAGAUUCCCCCAGUAGCGGCGAGCGAACGGGGAGCAGCCCGGAGUCUGAAUCAGCUUGUGUGUUAGUGGAAGCGUCUGGAAAGUCGCAGGGUACAGGGUGAUACUCCCGUACACUAAAACACACAGGUUGUGAACUCGAAGAGUAGGGCGGGACACGUGGUAUCCUGUCUGAAUAUGGGGGGACCAUCCUCCAAGGCUAAAUACUCCUGACUGACCGAUAGUGAACCAGUACCGUGAGGGAAAGGCGAAAAGAACCCCGGCGAGGGGAGUGAAAAAGAACCUGAAACCGUGUACGUACAAGCAGUAGGAGCCCACUUGUUGGGUGACUGCGUACCUUUUGUAUAAUGGGUCAGCGACUUAUAUUCUGUAGCAAGGUUAACCGUAUAGGGGAGCCGCAGGGAAACCGAGUCUUAACUGGGCGUUAAGUUGCAGGGUAUAGACCCGAAACCCGGUGAUCUAGCCAUGGGCAGGUUGAAGGUUGGGUAACACUAACUGGAGGACCGAACCGACUAAUGUUGAAAAAUUAGCGGAUGACUUGUGGCUGGGGGUGAAAGGCCAAUCAAACCGGGAGAUAGCUGGUUCUCCCCGAAAGCUAUUUAGGUAGCGCCUCGUGAACUCAUCUUCGGGGGUAGAGCACUGUUUCGGCUAGGGGGUCAUCCCGACUUACCAACCCGAUGCAAACUACGAAUACCGAAGAAUGUUAUCACGGGAGACACACGGCGGGUGCUAACGUCCGUCGUGAAGAGGGAAACAACCCAGACCGCCAGCUAAGGUCCCAAAGUCAUGGUUAAGUGGGAAACGAUGUGGGAAGGCCCAGACAGCCAGGAUGUUGGCUUAGAAGCAGCCAUCAUUUAAAGAAAGCGUAAUAGCUCACUGGUCGAGUCGGCCUGCGCGGAAGAUGUAACGGGGCUAAACCAUGCACCGAAGCUGCGGCAGCGACACUAUGUGUUGUUGGGUAGGGGAGCGUUCUGUAAGCCGUUGAAGGUGGCCUGUGAGGGUUGCUGGAGGUAUCAGAAGUGCGAAUGCUGACAUAAGUAACGAUAAUGCGGGUGAAAAACCCGCACGCCGGAAGACCAAGGGUUCCUGUCCAACGUUAAUCGGGGCAGGGUGAGUCGACCCCUAAGGCGAGGCCGAAAGGCGUAGUCGAUGGGAAACAGGUUAAUAUUCCUGUACUCGGUGUUACUGCGAAGGGGGGACGGAGAAGGCUAUGUUGGCCGGGCGACGGUUGUCCCGGUUUAAGCAUGUAGGCGGAUGUUCCAGGUAAAUCCGGAACGUUACUAACGCUGAGGUGUGAUGACGAGGCACUACGGUGCUGAAGUGACAAAUGCCCUGCUUCCAGGAAAAGCCUCUAAGCAUCAGGUAACAUCAAAUCGUACCCCAAACCGACACAGGUGGUCAGGUAGAGAAUACCAAGGCGCUUGAGAGAACUCGGGUGAAGGAACUAGGCAAAAUGGUGCCGUAACUUCGGGAGAAGGCACGCUGAUGGUAAGUGAAGCGACUUGCUCGUGGAGCUGAAAUCAGUCGAAGAUACCAGCUGGCUGCAACUGUUUAUUAAAAACACAGCACUGUGCAAACACGAAAGUGGACGUAUACGGUGUGACGCCUGCCCGGUGCCGGAAGGUUAAUUGAUGGGGUUAUCCUCGCGGAGAAGCUCUUGAUCGAAGCCCCGGUAAACGGCGGCCGUAACUAUAACGGUCCUAAGGUAGCGAAAUUCCUUGUCGGGUAAGUUCCGACCUGCACGAAUGGCGUAAUGAUGGCCAGGCUGUCUCCACCCGAGACUCAGUGAAAUUGAACUCGCUGUGAAGAUGCAGUGUACCCGCGGCAAGACGGAAAGACCCCGUGAACCUUUACUAUAGCUUGACACUGAACACUGGUCCUUGAUGUGUAGGAUAGGUGGGAGGCUUUGAAGUGUGGACGCCAGUCUGCAUGGAGCCAUCCUUGAAAUACCACCCUUUAAUGGCUGGUGUUCUAACGUGGGCCCGUAAUCCGGGUUGCGGACAGUGUCUGGUGGGUAGUUUGACUGGGGCGGUCUCCUCCUAAAGAGUAACGGAGGAGCACGAAGGUCAGCUAAUCCUGGUCGGACAUCAGGAGGUUAGUGCAAUGGCAUAAGCUGGCUUGACUGCGAGCGUGACGGCGCGAGCAGGUGCGAAAGCAGGUCAUAGUGAUCCGGUGGUUCUGAAUGGAAGGGCCAUCGCUCAACGGAUAAAAGGUACUCCGGGGAUAACAGGCUGAUACCGCCCAAGAGUUCAUAUCGACGGCGGUGUUUGGCACCUCGAUGUCGGCUCAUCACAUCCUGGGGCUGAAGUAGGUCCCAAGGGUAUGGCUGUUCGCCAUUUAAAGUGGUACGCGAGCUGGGUUUAGAACGUCGUGAGACAGUUCGGUCCCUAUCUGCCGUGGGCGCUGGAGAAUUGAGGGGGGCUGCUCCUAGUACGAGAGGACCGGAGUGGACGCAUCACUGGUGUUCGGGUUGUCAUGCCAAUGGCAUUGCCCGGUAGCUAAAUGCGGAAGAGAUAAGUGCUGAAAGCAUCUAAGCACGAAACUUGCCCCGAGAUGAGUUCUCCCUGACCCUUUAAGGGUCCUGAAGGAACGUUGAAGACGACGACGUUGAUAGGCCGGGUGUGUAAGCGCAGCGAUGCGUUGAGCUAACCGGUACUAAUGAACCGUGAGGCUUAACCUUACAACGCCGAAG